UCCUGGUUAGCUCAGUUGGUAGAGCGCUCCACUGGAAAUGGAGAAGUCCCUGGUUCAGGAG
RNAcentral lists this transfer RNA (61 nucleotides) under Ixodes scapularis (black-legged tick). It matches the Rfam family "tRNA". From Rfam's summary of the family: Transfer RNA (tRNA) molecules are approximately 80 nucleotides in length. Their secondary structure includes four short double-helical elements and three loops (D, anti-codon, and T loops). Further hydrogen bonds mediate the characteristic L-shaped molecular structure. tRNAs have two regions of fundamental functional importance: the anti-codon, which is responsible for specific mRNA codon recognition, and the 3' end, to which the tRNAs corresponding amino acid is attached (by aminoacyl-tRNA synthetases). tRNAs cope with the degeneracy of the genetic code in two manners: having more than one tRNA (with a specific anti-codon) for a particular amino acid; and 'wobble' base-pairing, i.e. permitting non-standard base-pairing at the 3rd anti-codon position. The record is from Rfam by way of RNAcentral. Lineage: Eukaryota; Metazoa; Arthropoda; Arachnida; Ixodida; Ixodidae.